Molecule: long non-coding RNA, 245 nt
Filed under: Setaria italica (foxtail millet)
Lineage: Eukaryota; Viridiplantae; Streptophyta; Magnoliopsida; Poales; Poaceae
Description: long non-coding RNA (SITA_LNC000117)
Source: RNAcentral
GCCAUUCGAUGUGAUCACUGUCACUGUCACAAAUAGUGCAAAGGCCGUGGUAGAAGUUGAACACAAACCCUUUUGAAAUUUCAAGGCUCUAUUUGGAGCAGACAAGACUUUUUUUUUCCUCAGUUCCUGCGGGAUUAUGGUGAAACUUAAUCAUCAAUUUUCAUCAUCCAAGAUGAAGUUCUUAUUUGGAACAAGAUGAACUUACUUAUUAACCUGCAAACUAAACAUGAACGUCAGCAUGCAUG